CGAUGGCGGAGGGGAACCACGCGUACCCAUCCCGAACACGACCGUUAAGCCCUCCAGCGCCGAUGGUACUUGGACCGCAGGGUCCUGGGAGAGUAGGACGUUGCCAAGC
RNAcentral lists this ribosomal RNA (109 nucleotides) under Paenibacillus sacheonensis. The record is from RNAcentral. Lineage: Bacteria; Bacillati; Bacillota; Bacilli; Caryophanales; Paenibacillaceae.